Molecule: ribosomal RNA, 765 nt
Filed under: uncultured fungus
Lineage: Eukaryota; Fungi
Description: eukaryotic LSU rRNA
Rfam family: Eukaryotic large subunit ribosomal RNA
Source: RNAcentral
CCCGCUGAACUUAAGCAUAUCAAUAAGCGGAGGAAAAGAAAUCAAACGAGAUUUCCCUAGUAACUGCGAGUGAACAGGAAUCAAGCGUAUUGCCAAUUCUCAUGUUCUGUACAAUGAGAGAUGAGGUGUAAAGGUGUCUUGUGUUCAGCAGGCGCUCGGCCGAACUACUAUUGAGUGAGUGCUCAGAGAAGGUGAAAAGCCUGUGCGGCUGAGCGGACUCGCUGAACCGGGAUACUGAAGAGUCUAGUUGUUUGAGAGUACAACUUAAAGUUGGUGGUAAAUUUCAUCAAAGGCUAAAUAUAUGAGGGGACUAAUAGCGAACAAGUACCAUGAGGGAAAGUUGAAAAGAACUCUGACGAGAGAGUUCAACAGUACGUGAAACCAUAAUCAGUAAAACAGAUAACUGUGCUGUUUCGUGGUACGCUCUUCAACGGCCGAGUCGGUGUUGUGAGGCCUCGAGAUAACACUGUUCAUUCAGUCUGUUGCUCGUGGUUAGCAUAGCCGAGGUGACCGUGAUCUGGUCGUGCCCGCUCACUGAGGAGCCAUGUCGCUGCGGACGCCGUGCGUUUCAGUUCGCUCUUUGAGCGUAGUGGCGUGCGGGCUGAAUGUGGCGGCGUUGCUUCCGAGGCGGGGUGCGUUUGCUAAAGGCGGUUGCUUUGUCUGCGGUUAGGUUCAUUCCGUACUGCGGUGAGUACGCAUCGUCCUACGCAAGCGCCCCGCGUUCAGUGCUUUAGCAUUAGUUAUUUGACCCGUCUUGAAACACGG